Molecule: ribosomal RNA, 460 nt
Filed under: uncultured bacterium
Lineage: Bacteria
Description: partial 16S ribosomal RNA
Rfam family: Bacterial small subunit ribosomal RNA
Source: RNAcentral
CCUACGGGAGGCAGCAGUGAGGAAUAUUGGUCAAUGGACGGGAGCCUGAACCAGCCAAGUCGCGUGAAGGAUGACUGCCCUAUGGGUUGUAAACUUCUUUUAUAUGGGAAUAAAACAGGGUAUGCAUACCCUCUUGUAUGUACCAUACGAAUAAGGAUCGGCUAACUCCGUGCCAGCAGCCGCGGUAAUACGGAGGAUCCGAGCGUUACCCGGAUUUAUUGGGUUUAAAGGGAGCGUAGGUGGAUUGUUAAGUCAGUGGUGAAAGUUUGCGGCUUAACCGUAGAAUUGCAGUUGAAACUGGGAGGCUUGAGUACGGUAGAGGUGGGCGGAAUUCGUGGUGUAGCGGUGAAAUGCUUAGAUAUCGCGAAGAACUCCGAUUGCGAAGGCAGCUCACUGGAGUGCGACUGACGCUGAUGCUCGAAAGUGUGGGUAUCAAACAGGAUUAGAUACCCGAGUAGUC